Molecule: ribosomal RNA, 491 nt
Filed under: uncultured bacterium
Lineage: Bacteria
Description: partial 16S ribosomal RNA
Rfam family: Bacterial small subunit ribosomal RNA
Source: RNAcentral
GUGAACGCUGGCGGUAGGCCUAACACCUGCCAGUCGAACGGCAGCACAGUAAGAGCUUGCUCUUACGGGUGGCGAGUGGCGGACGGGUGAGGAAUACAUCGGAAUCUACUUUUUCGUGGGGGAUAACGUAGGGAAACUUACGCUAAUACCGCAUACGACCUACGGGUGAAAGCAGGGGAUCUUCGGACCUUGCGCGAUUGAAUGAGCCGAUGUCGGAUUAGCUAGUUGGCGGGGUAAAGGCCCACCAAGGCGACGAUCCGUAGCUGGUCUGAGAGGAUGAUCAGCCACACUGGAACUGAGACACGGUCCAGACCCCUACGGGAGGCAGCAGUGGGGAAUAUUGGACAAUGGGCGCAAGCCUGAUCCAGCCAUACCGCGUGGGUGAAGAAGGCCUUCGGGUUGUAAAGCCCUUUUGUUGGGAAAGAAAAGCAGCAGGUUAAUACCCCGCUGUUCUGACGGUACCCAAAGAAUAAGCACCGGCUAACUUCGUG